AGAACAAAGGGAUCCCCUAGUAACGGCGAGCGAACGGGGAAGAGCUCGUAGCCGAAUCCGGAGCCCUUGGGCUUUGGAAAUGUGGCGUAUGGGAGGCGGCAUUCUCCGUGCGAGGUUUGGGGUGCAAGUCCCCAUGAGAGGGGCAUGUUUCCCGGAGCGGGUGCUAGGCCCUUAUCGCCCCGGACCCUACGCGCGGAGUCGCCGUCCUCCUGGGAGUCGGGUUGCUUGGGAGUGCAGCCCAAAGUGGGUGGUAAACUCCACCUAAAGCUAAAUAAGACCGAGAGACCGAUAGCAAACAAGUACCGUGAGGGAAAGUUGAAAAGCACUUUGAAGAGAGAGUUCAAGAGUACGUGAAACCGCUUGGAGGUAAACGGGUGGGGCCUCGAAAGCCUAAGGCGGUGGCGGAUUCAGUUCCGGGUAGAGGGCUCCCUACCGGACCUGGCCUUGCUGAGAGGAGGCCCGGGAGGGUUUUGGGCUCGAUGCUCGGGGCGCACUUCCGCACCCCGUCCAUUGGGACGUCGCAACGGGUUGGAGGGCUGUCGCGGGGCCCCCGCAAAAGGUGGCCGCCUCUCCUCUCGGGGAUUGGCRGUGUUACAGGCGCGGGGAGGCCUGAGGAGCCCUCCGACCGUGGUGGAGGUAUAGCCUCGAUUUCGCUCCCGCCCUCUUUUGGGCAGCGGCGUCCAGGUGGCAUCCGUCGUGCGCAGGCGCGUCGCCUUGUGGGGCGAAGGCCUCGUGCGUGCGGGUUUCCGCCAAGGUCAACGCGGGGAGCCGGAGGUUGGCGACGAGUAGGUCGGUCUCCCACCCGACCCGUCUUGAAACACGGACCAAGGAGUCCAAUGCGCGUGCGAGUUCCCGGGACUUGACCAGGCCCGUGGGCGCAAUGAAAGUGAAGGUCGACGUACGUCGUCCGAGCUGGGAUCCCUCUUAGUGGGGGYGCACCAGCGGCCCGUCCGUGCCCGGGUUCCGGGCGGACGGAGCUAGAGCACGUGCCUUGGGACCCGAAAGAUGGUGAACUAUGCCUGGGCAGGGUGAAGCCAGAGGAAACUCUGGUGGAGGCCCGUAGCGAUUUCUGACGUGCAAAUUCGAUCGUCAGACCCUUGUAUAGGGGCAAAA
Molecule: ribosomal RNA, 1113 nt
Filed under: Pachyolpium sp. 965A
Lineage: Eukaryota; Metazoa; Arthropoda; Arachnida; Pseudoscorpiones; Olpiidae
Description: eukaryotic LSU rRNA
Rfam family: Eukaryotic large subunit ribosomal RNA
Source: RNAcentral